CAAACAUUAAAAGCCUGUUGGUACACCCAGCCUUUGUACUUUUUCUUUUUUUGCCUACAUUGCAAUACAUUACACUUUGAAUUUUACUCCCAAAGAUCCUUCUCUCCGAAACGAUGGUGGACAUUUGGGGAUAAGUAUUCUUCUGAAGAUGCAAAAUGGAUUGAUACAGCAACUCACGUUGGGCCUGGCCUUGCCUCCAUCAUGUUCCAGCUGAUCUUUCUUCUACAUCUGGAACAUUCGUAAGGUCUUCAUCUCCCAGACAGAUUCCACGAUGUCUAAAAAGACCACCUUGAGAUUUCAGUUUCUCCCUGUGGAAGAUUUCCUUUUUU
Molecule: long non-coding RNA, 329 nt
Filed under: Dromaius novaehollandiae (emu)
Lineage: Eukaryota; Metazoa; Chordata; Aves; Casuariiformes; Dromaiidae
Description: lncRNA (ENSDNVG00000002685.1)
Source: RNAcentral